GACAGAGGGGGCAAGCGUUGCUCGGAAUUACUGGGCGUAAAGGGCGCGUAGGCGGGCUGGCAAGUCGGUCGUGAAAGACCUCGGCUCAACUGAGGAGUGUCGAUCGAUACUGCCGUUCUUGAGGAUUGCAGAGGAGACUGGAAUUCCCGGUGUAGCGGUGAAAUGUGUAGAGAUCGGGAGGAACACCGGUGGCGAAGGCGGGUCUCUGGGCAAUUCCUGACGCUGAGGCGCGAAAGCGUGGGGAGCAAACGGG
RNAcentral lists this ribosomal RNA (253 nucleotides) under uncultured bacterium. Its description in RNAcentral is "partial 16S ribosomal RNA". It matches the Rfam family "Bacterial small subunit ribosomal RNA", at positions 524 to 776 of the family's 1533-position model. The record is from RNAcentral.